This 404-nucleotide ribosomal RNA is filed under the name Verrucomicrobiota bacterium. RNAcentral describes it as "Verrucomicrobia bacterium partial 16S ribosomal RNA". It matches the Rfam family "Bacterial small subunit ribosomal RNA", at positions 355 to 776 of the family's 1533-position model. Lineage: Bacteria; Pseudomonadati; Verrucomicrobiota. The record is from RNAcentral.
UGGGGAAUAUUGCACAAUGGGGGAAACCCUGAUGCAGCGACGCCGCGUGAGCGAUGAAGGCUUUCGAGUCGUAAAGCUCUGUCCUAUGGGAAGAUAAUGACGGUACCAUAGAAGAAAGCCCCGGCUAAUUACGUGCCAGCAGCCGCGGUAAUACGUAAGGGGCGAGCGUUGUCCGGAAUUAUUGGGCGUAAAGAGUGCGUAGGCGGCAAAAUAAGUCAGAUGUGAAAACUAAGGGCUCAACCCAUAGAUUGCAUCUGAAACUGAUAUGCUUGAGUCAAGGAGAGGAAAGUGGAAUUCCUAGUGUAGCGGUGGAAUGCGUAGAUAUUAGGAGGAAUACCGGUGGCGAAGGCGACUUUCUGGACUUGAACUGACGCUGAGGCACGAAAGCGUGGGGAGCAAACAGG